RNAcentral lists this ribosomal RNA (440 nucleotides) under uncultured bacterium. Its description in RNAcentral is "partial 16S ribosomal RNA". It matches the Rfam family "Bacterial small subunit ribosomal RNA", at positions 338 to 795 of the family's 1533-position model. The record is from RNAcentral.
CCUACGGGUGGCAGCAGUCGGGAAUAUUGCGCAAUGGAGGAAACUCUGACGCAGUGACGCCGCGUGCAGGAAGAAGGUUUUCGGAUUGUAAACUGCUUUAGACAGGGAAGAUAAUGACAGUACCUGUAGAAUAAGCUCCGGCUAACUACGUUCCAGCAGCCGCGGUAAUACGUAGGGCGCCAGCGUUAUCCGGAUUUAUUGGGUGUAAAGGGUGCGUAGACGGGAAGGCAAGUUAGUUGUGAAAUCCCUCGGCUUAACUGAGGAACUGCAACUAAAACUAUCUUUCUUGAGUGCUGGAGAGGAAAGUGGAAUGCCUAGUGUAGCGGUGAAAUGCGUAGAUAUUAGGAGGAACACCAGUGGCGAAGGCGACUUUCUGGAAAGGAACUGACGUUGAGGCACGAAAGUGUGGGGAGCAAACAGGAUUAGAUACCCGGGUAGUC